ACGUAGGGGGCAAGCGUUAUCCGGAUUUACUGGGUGUAAAGGGAGCGUAGACGGCGAAGCAAGUCUGAAGUGAAAACCCAGGGCUCAACCCUGGGACUGCUUUGGAAACUGUUUUGCUAGAGUGCUGGAGAGGUAAGUGGAAUUCCUAGUGUAGCGGUGAAAUGCGUAGAUAUUAGGAGGAACACCAGUGGCGAAGGCGGCUUACUGGACAGUAACUGACGUUGAGGCUCGAAAGCGUGGGGAGCAAACAG
RNAcentral lists this ribosomal RNA (251 nucleotides) under uncultured bacterium. RNAcentral describes it as "partial 16S ribosomal RNA". It matches the Rfam family "Bacterial small subunit ribosomal RNA", at positions 525 to 775 of the family's 1533-position model. The record is from RNAcentral.